AGAGUUUGAUCCUGGCUCAGAUUGAACGCUGGCGGCAGGCCUAACACAUGCAAGUCGAGCGGUAGCACAGAGAGCUUGCUCUCGGGUGACGAGCGGCGGACGGGUGAGUAAUGUCUGGGAAACUGCCUGAUGGAGGGGGAUAACUACUGGAAACGGUAGCUAAUACCGCAUAAUGUCGCAAGACCAAAGUGGGGGACCUUCGGGCCUCAUGCCAUCAGAUGUGCCCAGAUGGGAUUAGCUAGUAGGUGGGGUAACGGCUCACCUAGGCGACGAUCCCUAGCUGGUCUGAGAGGAUGACCAGCCACACUGGAACUGAGACACGGUCCAGACUCCUACGGGAGGCAGCAGUGGGGAAUAUUGCACAAUGGGCGCAAGCCUGAUGCAGCCAUGCCGCGUGUGUGAAGAAGGCCUUCGGGUUGUAAAGCACUUUCAGCGGGGAGGAAGGCGUUAAGGUUAAUAACCUUGGCGAUUGACGUUACCCGCAGAAGAAGCACCGGCUAACUCCGUGCCAGCAGCCGCGGUAAUACGGAGGGUGCAAGCGUUGAUCGGAAUUACUGGGCGUAAAGCGCACGCAGGCGGUCUGUCAAGUCGGAUGUGAAAUCCCCGGGCUCAACCUGGGAACUGCAUUCGAAACUGGCAGGCUAGAGUCUUGUAGAGGGGGGUAGAAUUCCAGGUGUAGCGGUGAAAUGCGUAGAGAUCUGGAGGAAUACCGGUGGCGAAGGCGGCCCCCUGGACAAAGACUGACGCUCAGGUGCGAAAGCGUGGGGAGCAAACAGGAUUAGAUACCCUGGUAGUCCACGCCGUAAACGAUGUCGAUUUGGAGGUUGUGCCCUUGAGGCGUGGCUUCCGGAGCUAACGCGUUAAAUCGACCGCCUGGGGAGUACGGCCGCAGGGUUAAAACUCAAAUGAAUUGACGGGGGCCCGCACAAGCGGUGGAGCAUGUGGUUUAAUUCGAUGCAACGCGAAGAACCUUACCUGGUCUUGACAUCCACAGAACUUUCCAGAGAUGGAUUGGUGCCUUCGGGAACUGUGAGACAGGUGCUGCAUGGCUGUCGUCAGCUCGUGUUGUGAAAUGUUGGGUUAAGUCCCGCAACGAGCGCAACCCUUAUCCUUUGUUGCCAGCGGUUCGGCCGGGAACUCAAAGGAGACUGCCAGUGAUAAACUGGAGGAAGGUGGGGAUGACGUCAAGUCAUCAUGGCCCUUACGACCAGGGCUACACACGUGCUACAAUGGCAUAUACAAAGAGAAGCGACCUCGCGAGAGCAAGCGGACCUCAUAAAGUAUGUCGUAGUCCGGAUUGGAGUCUGCAACUCGACUCCAUGAAGUCGGAAUCGCUAGUAAUCGUAGAUCAGAAUGCUACGGUGAAUACGUUCCCGGGCCUUGUACACACCGCCCGUCACACCAUGGGAGUGGGUUGCA
Molecule: ribosomal RNA, 1419 nt
Filed under: uncultured bacterium
Lineage: Bacteria
Description: 16S ribosomal RNA
Rfam family: Bacterial small subunit ribosomal RNA
Source: RNAcentral